Unclassified non-coding RNA from Fukomys damarensis (Damara mole-rat), 319 nucleotides. Its record names the gene 7SK. It matches the Rfam family "7SK RNA". From Rfam's summary of the family: 7SK was discovered as an abundant small nuclear RNA in the mid-70s but a possible function has only recently been suggested. The record is from Ensembl. Lineage: Eukaryota; Metazoa; Chordata; Mammalia; Rodentia; Bathyergidae.
GAAUGUGAGGGCAACAUGGCUGUGGCACCUGUCACCCCACUGUUUGCCAGCAUUGAUCUGGCUCAUCUGGCUAAGCAGGUGCCCCCUCCCUCCCUCACUGCUUCACCUGUGUUCCUUCUGCAAGGUGCAUGCUCUGCUGAAGAGGAUGACCACCUCCAACAGAGGACUGUUUCCGAGGCCAAGGGCAUACGAGUAACUGUGCUCACCUGUUAGAACAUCCAAACAAGCUCUUAAAAUGCUAACAUUGUGGGCAUAAACAGACAAAAAAAUAUGCGUUAUCUUCAUUUUAAUGUCCUCUGUGCAACAUAUGGGAAGAUUU